AUUCCGUGAUGGGGACAUUAUCUAAGCAGCUCUUUGAAUAUUUCCCAAGAGUCAAAUAAGGAUUCAUCAUCUCCUUGUAUAAACGAAGUAAUAUCAUUCCUUAUCUU
Molecule: small nucleolar RNA, 107 nt
Organism: Lathyrus oleraceus (garden pea)
Lineage: Eukaryota; Viridiplantae; Streptophyta; Magnoliopsida; Fabales; Fabaceae
Source: RefSeq, a predicted model, not a curated record